ACCAUCAAAACUCUGGACAAAGAACACCAUAGUCCAUAAGAACAGGACACUGGUAUACAGGACGUCCAGUCCAUUCAGCUUCAUUUUUAGACUGGUUUUUCAGGGUAAUUUUCUCUCCUUAAGAUCCCACUAAUCUUUAAAGCAGAAGACAGUUAUGAAGGAAGGAAAAGAAGGUGAGAAAGUAGAACUGAAAAAUGAAAAGCCAGUAUCUCAAGAAACCUAUUGCACUCGUUUCUUUUAUAUAAUUAAAAUUCAUUGUUAUGUAUCCUCGUUGUCAUUUGUUUACUACAUAGAAAAUGUGUUGCACCAGCUGUUAUGUAUGUAAAUUAUAUAUUUAUUUAGUAUGUGAAACAUCAAGAGGGCACAAAUAACAAAAAACGUUCUGUUCAAGGGUCAUACGAUCUUCACUAAAUUAUAUUCUUGAUUGUAAAAAAAAAAACAUUAUAGCUGGUGUGGGCAAUUAGCCACACCAGCCCACAAGCUCAGAUCCCUAGUGAACAAAUACAACCACAACAACAAAACAAGCUAUUGGCAAUGAUCAAUAACCCUAUUUCCAUUGCCAAUACUCAUCCCCUCGCAAAACCAAGACUCGCCCUUGUCCUUUGUAGUGUAGCAAAAAACUUUUGGCUAGGCUAAUGGUCAUUGCCAGUAGCCUCAGAUCACCUGCCGAUGUUUUAGAAGUGCAAGGACAGGGAAGCCUGGGCAUCGGGCCCGGGUACCUGGUACUUGGCUUGAUACUGGGCCUGAAAGACCAGCCCAGGUCGGCCUGAUGGGGCCCAAUUCAGCCUGAUUAAUUUUUUAUAUUAUUUUUAUUUAAUAAUAAUAUAUAUAUCAUUAUUAAAAAUGUGUUUUGUAUUUAAAAAUUUUUAUUUUAUAUUUAAAAUAUAUAUAUUUUUAAUCGGGUCGAGCCCAACCUCGGGUUUUGGGCAUUAAGUCGGGCCCAAGCUCGGGUUUCGGGGGUCGGGUGCCGGCCAGAUGUCGAGGCCUAGGGGCAGGUCAUUCCCAGCUUUUAUCCAAUGAUGUGCCCAUGUUGAGAAAACUGUUGCAAAUCAAUAUAGGUUAGAACAGCAACCUUCUCCAAAGAUCAAUUAACACAAUUGGUCUCCACUCAACAAGUAAAUUGGGCAAUGGUCAUAAACCAACGUACUACUUAUUUAUGGAAGUGCCUCACGCUCUCCUCCCUUCCUUAAUACUCUCUUGAUGUAUAAGGGCAUGACUGAUUGUAUUGGCAAAAUUAUUAUCAAAAUAAAAAACGUUGGUUUCUCUUGCUUGUGGAUGCAGGCUGCAAAGCCAAACCACGUAAAACUGGUGCAGCCUCUUUUCUCUCUAUCAUCCUUAUCUUUCAUUAAAUCUCAGUCUAUCAUGGUAUCAGAGCGGUAAAAAGAUCUUCUAAGGCAAAAACUUCGAGCUUCAAGCAGUGAUUCAUUAUGGAACAAGAAAGGGAAACAAGGAAUGACAACGGUGAAGCCACCAUCAUUCAAACCAGCGAUGGAUCAAUGCACAAGAUUGACGUUCAUGAACAAGGAUCGAAUGACUCAGAAGAUGAUUGGUGAAGGACAACUUGUCAAUGGACUCAAUCAAAUAAGAACCAUGAAUCAUGCACUGAAUGUAAAUCAUGUCAACGAUGGAAAUAUCUGGCAUCAAAGAAUGGGUCAUCCAUCUUCUAGAUUUUUAGAUUACUUAUUUCCUAAUCUGUGCUUCAAUUGUAGAGAGUGUGGAA
RNA transcript from Nymphaea colorata (pocket water lily), 1720 nucleotides. RefSeq lists it as uncharacterized. NCBI's taxonomy places the organism in Eukaryota, Viridiplantae, Streptophyta, Magnoliopsida, Nymphaeales, Nymphaeaceae. The record is from RefSeq and is a predicted model, not a curated record. The transcript is spliced from 2 exons.